AGGAAACAGGGACCCA
Molecule: microRNA, 16 nt
Filed under: Homo sapiens (human)
Lineage: Eukaryota; Metazoa; Chordata; Mammalia; Primates; Hominidae
Description: hsa-miR-4261
Source: miRBase by way of RNAcentral